AUGUCCAGCAAAGAAGACAAAGUGAAAAGUGAGUCCAGUAUAAUACGUUUUGAAAGAAAAAGUACCACUACUGAGUCUGCCACAAGAGGAAAUGACAGAAGAAGUACUGAGUCUGCCACAAGAGGAAACAGAAGAAGUACUGAGUCUGCCACCAGAGGAAACAGAAGAAGUACUGAGUCUGCCACAAGAGGAAAUGACAGAAGAAGUACUGAGUCUGCCACAAGAGGAAAUGACAGAAGAAGUACUGGGUCUGCCACAAGAGGAAAUGACAGAAGAAGUACUGAGUCUGCCACAAGAGGAAAUGACAGAAGUACUGAGUCUGCCACAAGAGGAAAUGACAGGAGGAGUACUGAGUCUGCCACAAGAGAUGACAGAAGAUCACCAAGCACAGGGAAAGAAAAAAGGAACACGAAACGGAGCCACAGUAGAUCAUCUUCCUCAUCCAGCUCAUCAUCAUCAUCCUCCUCGUCAUCCUCCUCAUCCUCAUCCCACUCUUCAUCCCACAGUAGGAGAUGUUCCAGCAGUAGUGAUUCCCACAACAAAUCCAGAAGGAAUUCUAAGAAAAGGAAAAAGGAAAAACAACACAAGAAGAAAGGGAAAAAGGAGAAGAAGCAUAAACAAAAGAAGGACAAGAAAAUGACACCAGAGGAGGAAAGCGCUGGACCUGGACCUAUUCAGAUCUCCAAGUAUUUAAAGGAGAGGAGGAGAAAAGGCAAGUACAGCAUGAUCACAGGAAAGAAGAUCAAAAUGAAAUUAAAGAAGUCCAAGAAAGACAAGCUGAGGGACAAGAAUCGCGCCGAACUGCUUGAGUUCCUCAACUCCACGUUGUAAUGCAAAGGGCCGUCACCGUUGGUUAUGUUCCAGAAACUUCCAAUUUUUGUCCAGAACAGAACUCAGGGAAUGACGACCAUUUUGAUGAAGCUCUGAACUAAUAUCCAUUUACAGGGUUAUUAUUAUCACUGCAAGAGAUGUGGGACAUGGCCUGUAAUCUCAAAAUGACAGAAUGUGCCAUGUCUCUCUUUUAGAAAAAGCGUGUUGUCACUCCUGUGGUUGUCAGCCCCUUUCUUCAGACCAGUGGAGACUGCUGAAGGAGAACGGCUCAUAAUAAUGGCUGGAACGGAGCCAAUGGAAUGGCAUCAAACCAUGUGUAUUCGAUGCCAUUCCACCAAUUCCGCUCCAGCCAUUACCACAAGCCCGUCCUCCCCAAUUAAGGUGCCACCAACCUCCUGUGCUUCACACUGUUUGUAACUGAUUUCUGUGUGUUUGGUCUUUAGAAUUGUAAUUUUACUAUAACAUCAAAGGAGCCAGUCACUGACUUUUUAUCAGUAUGUUUGCUGCACAAGGUGUUGCUAAGCAAGUUAGAACAGUGUUGCUGUGGUGGAGACUACAGAUCAGCAAAGAUCUGAGUGAUGAACAACAUAUCUGGGUUCAAAUAGUAUUGGUUUUCUUUUAAGUACUUCAGUUGAUUAAGCUUGCCCGGCACAAUGGAACAAAGGAAAAGUGCCAACCCAUCCAUCUUACACGCCAGCAGGCUCAAGAGCUUAAAGUAUUUGAAAGCAAAUACUAUUUGAACCCAGGUCUGAUGAACAAAGAGAUUUGGGUACAUUUUAUUGUAACGUAAUCUGUCAAAUAGAACACCAGUCCGGCAUUGCAUUGUGUUUGAUGAUGAUCUAUGUUUUUCUAGUUAUUUUAAGAAGGUCCAAAACAGUCCUGCAGCUAAACUCGGGUCCCCUGGAAUGUAGUUAUUGUUAGAUAUAUUGAUUAUCAGAGAAUAAUGUAUAGUAUGUACAAAUCUGAGACUGGAAGCUGGAUGUCAUCACAUGUAAUACUAUAAAUCAAUAUUAUUUUGGAUGAGCUUUUUAUAUUUUGUGAAGCCCACUUGAUGUGGCAAACUGCUUACAGUCCACCCAAUAAAACAGCUCUUCUCUCAACAGCAAUAAACUGCUGCUGUUAUAGAGAUUCUUUACAAUAGUCAUCUGAAAUGUUACAGUACAAUCAAGCAUUCAUUCCCAUUGUGUAUGAAUUAUUGCUGCCAUUGUGUGCCUCUUAUGAGACACAGUUUGUCCUGUAUCCAGGCUUUGUCAGUCUUAUUGGACAAGGCAAAUAGCCCAGGCACCUCAACCUUGGUUGCUGAGCAAUAAAACGGUGCCUUUGUGCUUACCGCCUAGCUUUUUUCAUGCUUACCCCAUAGCUUAGAUGUGGAUUUCUAUGCUUUUUGCUGUAAGAAAGUGAUUUGAAAUAUUUGGCAUUUCAAAUAUUUGCACAGCAAUUGUAUUUUGCUGAUAAGUCAAUAGCAAUAAAGUAAGACCGACAACACAAAGAGAUCAAGAUGCACUGUAUUCCAACUGUAAAGAGUUUGAACGAAGAUUGAUAUAAUCUACAAUGUCAUGGUAACCACUCCAAUAGAGCAGUCAGUUUACUGUUGAUUUUUCAAGUUAUAAAAAGGUCACUAAAAAGCCAUGAUAAGCAGCACUUCCCUUUACAGUGCCAAAAAAAUGCUUGAGAAAAAAACAGAACUUGUUGAUUGUUUCAUGUAUAAGUCUCAUUGGUUAACUACAAUUUAAAUACAUGUAGCUCCGGAGUAUUAUGUUGUUAUAAUGAAAAAAAAGCACAGUAAAAGGAAGUGCAUGCAACACAUCUCAAAACAUUGUGAAAUAUCCUUAGCAUAGCUCCCCGUAUCAAAUUCAUAAGUCAAAAGCUUUCAAUAGUGGAUGACCCCACACUGCCGAAGGAGAGGAUGGGAGAGGCAUGUCUCCUAUUUCUCCCCAUUCUUGUUCAAAGCAGACUGGGCAGGUUCCAGGGGUUUAUUAUAGGCUACCUCUCACUAGCGUUGCUCUAUCCUCCACUGAACCACAAUA
Molecule: long non-coding RNA, 2858 nt
Organism: Oncorhynchus mykiss (rainbow trout)
Lineage: Eukaryota; Metazoa; Chordata; Actinopteri; Salmoniformes; Salmonidae
Source: Ensembl